GCGGGAGUAGCUCAGUGGUAGAGCACCACCUUGCCAAGGUGGGGGUCGCGAGUUCGAGCCUCGUUUCCCGCUCCA
Molecule: transfer RNA, 75 nt
Filed under: Pectinatus brassicae
Lineage: Bacteria; Bacillati; Bacillota; Negativicutes; Selenomonadales; Selenomonadaceae
Description: tRNA-Gly
Rfam family: tRNA
About the family: Transfer RNA (tRNA) molecules are approximately 80 nucleotides in length. Their secondary structure includes four short double-helical elements and three loops (D, anti-codon, and T loops).
Source: RNAcentral